RNAcentral lists this transfer RNA (82 nucleotides) under Candidatus Kerfeldbacteria bacterium. RNAcentral describes it as "tRNA-Tyr". It matches the Rfam family "tRNA". From Rfam's summary of the family: Transfer RNA (tRNA) molecules are approximately 80 nucleotides in length. Their secondary structure includes four short double-helical elements and three loops (D, anti-codon, and T loops). The record is from RNAcentral. Lineage: Bacteria; Candidatus Kerfeldiibacteriota.
GGGUCGAUACCAAAGCGGUCAAAUGGGACUGGCUGUAGACCAGUUGGCUUUGCCUUCGAAGGUUCGAAUCCUUCUCGGCCCA